This 449-nucleotide ribosomal RNA is filed under the name uncultured bacterium. RNAcentral describes it as "bacterial SSU rRNA". It matches the Rfam family "Bacterial small subunit ribosomal RNA", at positions 29 to 521 of the family's 1533-position model. The record is from RNAcentral.
AACGAACGCUGGCGGCAUGCCUAACACAUGCAAGUCGAACGAGACCUUCGGGUCUAGUGGCGCACGGGUGCGUAACGCGUGGGAAUCUGCCCUUGGGUUCGGAAUAACAGUUAGAAAUGACUGCUAAUACCGGAUAAUGUCUUCGGACCAAAGAUUUAUCGCCCAGGGAUGAGCCCGCGUAGGAUUAGCUAGUUGGUGAGGUAAAGGCUCACCAAGGCGACGAUCCUUAGCUGGUCUGAGAGGAUGAUCAGCCACACUGGGACUGAGACACGGCCCAGACUCCUACGGGAGGCAGCAGUGGGGAAUAUUGGACAAUGGGCGAAAGCCUGAUCCAGCAAUGCCGCGUGAGUGAUGAAGGCCUUAGGGUUGUAAAGCUCUUUUACCCGGGAUGAUAAAUGACAGUACCGGGAGAAUAAGCCCCGGCUAAACUCCGUGCCAGCAGCCGCGGU